UACCCAGACUCCUACGGGAGGCAGCAGUGAGGAAUAUUGGUCAAUGGUCGGGAGACUGAACCAGCCAAGCCGCGUGAGGGAAGACGGCCCUACGGGUUGUAAACCUCUUUUGUCGGGGAGCAAAGAGAGUCACGUGUGACUCAUUGAGAGUACCCGAAGAAAAAGCAUCGGCUAACUCCGUGCCAGCAGCCGCGGUAAUACGGAGGAUCCGAGCGUUAUCCGGAUUUAUUGGGUUUAAAGGGAGCGUAGAUGGGUUGUUAAGUCAGGUGUGAAAGUUUGCGGCUCAACCGUAAAAUUGCAAUUGAUACUGGCAGCCUUGAGUACAGGUGAGGUAGGCGGAAUUCGUGGUGUAGCGGUGAAAUGCUUAGAUAUCACGAAGAACCCCGAUUGCGAAGGCAGCCUGCCGCAGCGUUACUGACGCUGAAGCUCGAAAGCGCGGGUAUCGAACAGGAUUAGAUACCCGAGUAC
This 468-nucleotide ribosomal RNA is filed under the name uncultured bacterium. RNAcentral's name for it is "bacterial SSU rRNA". It matches the Rfam family "Bacterial small subunit ribosomal RNA", at positions 328 to 793 of the family's 1533-position model. The record is from RNAcentral.